This 1449-nucleotide ribosomal RNA is filed under the name Klebsiella sp. Its description in RNAcentral is "bacterial SSU rRNA". It matches the Rfam family "Bacterial small subunit ribosomal RNA". Lineage: Bacteria; Pseudomonadati; Pseudomonadota; Gammaproteobacteria; Enterobacterales; Enterobacteriaceae. The record is from RNAcentral.
ACCUUGCCGGCAUGUCCUACACAUGCAAGUCGAGCGGUAGCACAGAGAGCUUGCUCUCGGGUGACGAGCGGCGGACGGGUGAGUAAUGUCUGGGAAACUGCCUGAUGGAGGGGGAUAACUACUGGAAACGGUAGCUAAUACCGCAUAACGUCGCAAGACCAAAGUGGGGGACCUUCGGGCCUCAUGCCAUCAGAUGUGCCCAGAUGGGAUUAGCUAGUAGGUGGGGUAACGGCUCACCUAGGCGACGAUCCCUAGCUGGUCUGAGAGGAUGACCAGCCACACUGGAACUGAGACACGGUCCAGACUCCUACGGGAGGCAGCAGUGGGGAAUAUUGCACAAUGGGCGCAAGCCUGAUGCAGCCAUGCCGCGUGUGUGAAGAAGGCCUUCGGGUUGUAAAGCACUUUCAGCGGGGAGGAAGGCGAUAAGGUUAAUAACCUUGUCGAUUGACGUUACCCGCAGAAGAAGCACCGGCUAACUCCGUGCCAGCAGCCGCGGUAAUACGGAGGGUGCAAGCGUUAAUCGGAAUUACUGGGCGUAAAGCGCACGCAGGCGGUCUGUCAAGUCGGAUGUGAAAUCCCCGGGCUCAACCUGGGAACUGCAUUCGAAACUGGCAGGCUAGAGUCUUGUAGAGGGGGGUAGAAUUCCAGGUGUAGCGGUGAAAUGCGUAGAGAUCUGGAGGAAUACCGGUGGCGAAGGCGGCCCCCUGGACAAAGACUGACGCUCAGGUGCGAAAGCGUGGGGAGCAAACAGGAUUAGAUACCCUGGUAGUCCACGCCGUAAACGAUGUCGAUUUGGAGGUUGUGCCCUUGAGGCGUGGCUUCCGGAGCUAACGCGUUAAAUCGACCGCCUGGGGAGUACGGCCGCAAGGUUAAAACUCAAAUGAAUUGACGGGGGCCCGCACAAGCGGUGGAGCAUGUGGUUUAAUUCGAUGCAACGCGAAGAACCUUACCUGGUCUUGACAUCCACAGAACUUUCCAGAGAUGGAUUGGUGCCUUCGGGAACUGUGAGACAGGUGCUGCAUGGCUGUCGUCAGCUCGUGUUGUGAAAUGUUGGGUUAAGUCCCGCAACGAGCGCAACCCUUAUCCUUUGUUGCCAGCGGUUCGGCCGGGAACUCAAAGGAGACUGCCAGUGAUAAACUGGAGGAAGGUGGGGAUGACGUCAAGUCAUCAUGGCCCUUACGACCAGGGCUACACACGUGCUACAAUGGCAUAUACAAAGAGAAGCGACCUCGCGAGAGCAAGCGGACCUCAUAAAGUAUGUCGUAGUCCGGAUUGGAGUCUGCAACUCGACUCCAUGAAGUCGGAAUCGCUAGUAAUCGUAGAUCAGAAUGCUACGGUGAAUACGUUCCCGGGCCUUGUACACACCGCCCGUCACACCAUGGGAGUGGGUUGCAAAAGAAGUAGGUAGCUUAACCUUCGGGAGGGCGCUACGCACGUUGGAUCGUUGCC